AACUUCUGAAUGUUGACCUCGGAUCAGGUAGGAAUACCCGCUGAACUUAAGCAUAUCAAUAAGCGGAGGAAAAGAAACCAACAGGGAUUGCCCUAGUAACGGCGAGUGAAGCGGCAACAGCUCAAAUUUGAAAUCUGGCUUUCGGGCCCGAGUUGUAAUUUGUAGAGGAUACUUUUGAUGCGGUGCCUUCCGAGUUCCCUGGAACGGGACGCCAUAGAGGGUGAGAGCCCCGUCUGGUUGGAUGCCAAAUCUCUGUAAAGUUCCUUCGACGAGUCGAGUAGUUUGGGAAUGCUGCUCUAAAUGGGAGGUAUAUGUCUUCUAAAGCUAAAUAUUGGCCAGAGACCGAUAGCGCACAAGUAGAGUGAUCGAAAGAUGAAAAGCACUUUGAAAAGAGAGUUAAAAAGUACGUGAAAUUGUUGAAAGGGAAGCGUUUAUGACCAGACUUGGACUUGGUUAAUCAUCUGGGGUUCUCCCCAGUGCACUUUUCCAGUUCAGGCCAGCAUCAGUUUUCGCCGGGGGAUAAAGGCUUCGGGAAUGUAGCUCUCUUCGGGGAGUGUUAUAGCCCGUUGUGUAAUACCCUGGCGGAGACUGAGGUUCGCGCUUCUGCAAGGAUGCUGGCGUAAUGGUCAUCAACGACCCGUCUUGAAACACGGACCAAGG
RNAcentral lists this ribosomal RNA (660 nucleotides) under Fusarium tricinctum. RNAcentral describes it as "eukaryotic LSU rRNA". It matches the Rfam family "Eukaryotic large subunit ribosomal RNA", at positions 1 to 671 of the family's 3401-position model. Lineage: Eukaryota; Fungi; Ascomycota; Sordariomycetes; Hypocreales; Nectriaceae. The record is from RNAcentral.